This is a long non-coding RNA of Humulus lupulus (European hop), 423 nucleotides long. RefSeq lists it as uncharacterized. The transcript is spliced from 3 exons. NCBI's taxonomy places the organism in Eukaryota, Viridiplantae, Streptophyta, Magnoliopsida, Rosales, Cannabaceae. The record is from RefSeq and is a predicted model, not a curated record.
AGAGAGAGCGAGAGAGGGAGUCGCACACAGAGAUGGCGGGUCAGAUUGUUAAAGCGAGGAGGGAUGGAGGCAUGCAGGACGUGCCCUCUUUGUAAUAAGCUCUUGAGUGAAGCUACUACCAUCUCUCUCUGCCUCCACACGAGCCAUUGAUGGCUGAAGGAUGAUCCCUUGAAGCACACCACAACACCCUCCCUAUUUCUUUCUCUCUGGCUCAGCCCUCAGGCGACAAGCAAGAACAAGGGCCCAGAUGUGGUUCUCUUUUUUUCUCUAUCUUCCUCUCCAUGCGUGUCUCAUUCUCAGGUCUACCGAUUGAAUGAUGAUGGAAAAUGGGAUGAUCAAGGUUGGGCAUGUCACUCUUGACAAUUUGAAGGUUUGUUCUUUUCCUUGAUCCAUUCUUAUGCACAUUUAGUGUUACAAAAUUUU